RNAcentral lists this ribosomal RNA (774 nucleotides) under uncultured Neocallimastigales. Its description in RNAcentral is "partial large subunit ribosomal RNA". It matches the Rfam family "Eukaryotic large subunit ribosomal RNA", at positions 24 to 635 of the family's 3401-position model. Lineage: Eukaryota; Fungi; Neocallimastigomycota; Neocallimastigomycetes; Neocallimastigales. The record is from RNAcentral.
UAUCUCUGUAGAGUCUGCAUAUCAAUAAGCGGAGGAAAAGAAACUAACUAGGAUUCCCUCAGUAACGGCGAGUGAAGCGGGAAGAGCUCAAAUUUGAAAUCUUCAAGGUUCUACCUUGACGAAUUGUAGUUUAAAGAAGUGUUUUCUGUUGGAGUUUUGGUAAAAGUUCUUUGGAAUAGGACAUCAUAGAGGGUGAGAAUCCCGUAUUUGACCAUUAUUUCCAGCUUUGUGAUACACUUUCAAAGAGUCGGAUUGUUUGGGAAUGCAGUCCAAAAUGGGUGGUAAAUUUCAUCUAAAGCUAAAUACUGGCGAGAGACCGAUAGCGAACAAGUACCGUGAGGGAAAGAUGAAAAGAACUUUGAAAAGAGAGUUAAACAGUACGUGAAAUUGUCAAAAGGGAAGCGUUUGACACCAGUGUUGUUUUCUCGAAAAUCAAUUAAAAAUGGCUUGAUUUUGUGUUGUAUUGACCUUAAAAGCUUUCUUCACUUUUUUCAUGUCUUUUUUAAUGCACUUUUCGUUUAACAAGUCAACAUCAGUUUCUUUUGUUGUAAAAGGGUCAUUGGAAGGUGGCUUUCUUUUCGGAGAAAGUGUUUAUAGCCUUUGGCCUCUGCAAUCGGAGAGAUUGAGGUCUGCAGCGUAGAUCCUUCGGGGUUAGAUGCAUUUGUGCUAAGUUAUAGCCUUUCAUAGACAACUUGUUGACUAUGAUCAGUCAUGUAGCUUACUCGCUUAUGCUAUUUUACCUACGCUUAGGAUGUUGAAGAUGUAGCACAUCAU